GGCGAGGGGAGUGAAAAAGAACCUGAAACCGUGUACGUACAAGCAGUGGGAGCCCCACCACUAAGCCAGUGGUGAACUCCACAUACGCAUCCUUUGCUGAGGAUACGGUUAACGGAGCGAAAGCGACGUUCAACCGCAAAAGAAGCAGAGGGGGCUUAGUGGUGGGGUGACUGCGUACCUUUUGUAUAAUGGGUCAGCGACUUAUAUUCUGUAGCAAGGUUAACCGAAUAGGGGAGCCGGAGGGAAACCGAGUCUUAACCGGGCGUUAAGUUGCAGGGUAUAGACCCGAAACCCGGUGAUCUAGCCAUGGGCAGGUUGAAGGUUGGGUAACACUAACUGGAGGACCGAACCGACUAAUGUUGAAAAAUUAGCGGAUGACCUGUGGCUGGGGGUGAAAGGCCAAUCAAACCGGGAGAUAGCUGGUUCUCCCCGAAAGCUAUUUAGGUAGCGCCUCGUGAAUUCAUCUCCGGGGGUAGAGCACUGUUUCGGCUAGGGGGCCAUCCCGGCUUACCAACCCGAUGCAAACUGCGAAUACCGGAGAAUGUUAUCACGGGAGACACACGGCGGGUGCUAACGUCCGUCGUGAAGAGGGAAACAACCCAGACCGCCAGCUAAGGUCCCAAAGUCAUGGUUAAGUGGGAAACGAUGUGGGAAGGCCCAGACAGCCAGGAUGUUGGCUUAGAAGCAGCCAUCAUUUAAAGAAAGCGUAAUAGCUCACUGGUCGAGUCGGCCUGCGCGGAAGAUGUAACGGGGCUAAACCAUGCACCGAAGCUGCGGCAGCGACGCUUAUGCGU
RNAcentral lists this ribosomal RNA (794 nucleotides) under Salmonella enterica subsp. enterica serovar Dublin. RNAcentral describes it as "partial 23S ribosomal RNA". It matches the Rfam family "Bacterial large subunit ribosomal RNA", at positions 528 to 1221 of the family's 2925-position model. The record is from RNAcentral. Lineage: Bacteria; Pseudomonadati; Pseudomonadota; Gammaproteobacteria; Enterobacterales; Enterobacteriaceae.